UCAGAGAGCUGAUGGCAUCGAAGUUGCAUCAACUGCAAUCCAAGGCUGCUCAAGCUUCACAGUUCGUGGCCAAGCAUGGAACUGCUUACUAUAAGCAGUUGCUGGAGCAGAACAAGCAGUACAUCCAGGAACCUCCUACUGUCGAGAAAUGUAACCUGCUGUCUAAACAACUAUUUUACACUCUUCUUGCCAAGUGGUCAGGUGUUUACUGAUAGAGCCAUUCCCAGAAUUGGCCCUGAAUGAACAGUCUUGGAACCAUUUUAGAAUUGGUCGCUGGUGGGGUGUCCGAGACAGCCUCUGCUACAGAACAUUUUGCUUCAAGGACAUUUCUUUGAAGAGUAUUAUCUCUUAGAGCAUUGGAUGCAGAAUUAGGAUCUCAUAAGAAAGCUGAUCCAUCAUGGGAAGACAAAAAAUGUUGUUGACUUUGCAUAUGCUUUUGACCUUGUAGACGACUUCCAUCCCGGGCCCCUUUUGAAGGCCUACAUGAAUACAUCCAAGAAGGCUGCUCAGGAGGUUGUAUACCAGACCUUGUGAAAACCACAAAGGCUGAAGAGUCUGCUGCUGUUUGUGUUGAGAUUUCGAGUCCCUUGGACUGAGGGAGAAAACUCAUCUCUGAUUUUCUUCUUUCUUUAUCUUUUCUAUCCAUUUUUCAUGUUUUAUGGAUUGGGAUUCCAAGUCUAUUUGACUGAGAAUUGAAGACUCUUUUUGGGUUUUCUUGGGUUUUAUUUGAGAGGAAAAACCCAUUAAAAUAUUGUAGCUAAUGUUGUGGAU
Magnolia sinica is the source of this 771-nucleotide long non-coding RNA. RefSeq lists it as uncharacterized. The record is from RefSeq and is a predicted model, not a curated record. Lineage: Eukaryota; Viridiplantae; Streptophyta; Magnoliopsida; Magnoliales; Magnoliaceae. The transcript has 3 exons.